ACGAACGCUGGCGGCGUGCUUAACACAUGCCCGUCGAACGGAAAGGCCCCUUUGGGGGUACUCGAGUGGCGAACGGGUGAGUAACACGUGAGUAACCUGCCCUUGACUUCGGGAUAACUUCAGGAAACUGGGGCUAAUACCGGAUAGGAAUCCUUGCUGCAUGGUGGGGGUUGGAAAGCUUCGGCGGUUUUGGAUGGACUCGCGGCUUAUCAGCUUGUUGGUGGGGUAGUGGCUUACCAAGGCUUUGACGGGUAGCCGGCCUGAGAGGGCGACCGGCCACAUUGGGACUGAGAUACGGCCCAGACUCCUACGGGAGGCAGCAGUGGGGAAUAUUGCACAAUGGGCGGAAGCCUGAUGCAGCAACGCCGCGUGCGGGAUGACGGCCUUCGGGUUGUAAACCGCUUUCAGCAGGGGCGAAGCUUGUGGUGACGGUACCUGCAGAAGAAGCACCGGCUAACUACGUG
This 464-nucleotide ribosomal RNA is filed under the name uncultured bacterium. Its description in RNAcentral is "partial 16S ribosomal RNA". It matches the Rfam family "Bacterial small subunit ribosomal RNA", at positions 29 to 507 of the family's 1533-position model. The record is from RNAcentral.